GGAUUAAAGGAAGUUUAGAUGAACUGAUUUGGGAAUAAACUUUUGGUAAACAAACUGUUAAGAAUCUUUCCAAACCAGCUCACUGUAUCCUCUGAAUCAUUGCCAGGGAGCAGCCGUCAUUUUCCUAAGUGAUGGUGGUAUGGGUGGAAUUUCAAGGACAAAUUAUCUCUUAUUGUCCUGUUUUUAUUUUUUAAAUUCCUCCUUUGAUCCCCAAACUCCUUUCAAUUUAUUCGAGACAUUGUAGAAAUCAUACGGACUGCAAUACUCUCCACUCUGCAGAAUGUCAAAACUCCAGGUAUGCUGAAGGUAUUAUGAGAAUCUGGUUGCUCAUGGAGACCCUUGUUGACUAGGAAGUCCCUUUUUGGUGGCCACAUCAGUGGGAGACAACAUCUUCCUUGUCAGAAGCAACCGUUUCCUAAAGUGUCAAGCCCUCACAAAUAGACAAAAUGAAGACUACAUAAGCUGUUCCCUUGAUGCUCAUCCUGCUCGACACAGAGAGAAAUCUCCCUCAGAAUGUGCUUCUAAAUACUUGCAAUGAAGAUAAUUAGGUUGGAUGAUUGUGUUAUUGCAGUGUGAGAAAUUGGAUUGAACUUGCGAUGUAACAUGGCUAAUGAAGUGAGCUCCAUUCUAGGCAGAAAACGACUCCUGACUUCUUGUCUAUGUGGUUGAACGAGAGCAGGGUACUGUUGGUUUCAGGAUAGCCUUGAAGGAUGCUUUCCACUAUAGACAGUUAGGAGACACUUAAAAGCUUCAUCAACUAAUCCAACAGGAAGAACUGUACAAUCCUGCAAGAGGAUAGAACAAAGGAAUGUUGUUAAUGCCAACCUGACAGGAUCCAGGAUCACCUAGGAGACAGACCUCUGAGCAUGUCUGUCAGGGUGUGUCUAGAUUAGGUUAACUGAGGUAAGAAGCCUACCCUAAAUUGUGUAGCACCGCCCCAUUUGUGAGGUUCCAGGACAGAACAAACAGGAGACAGUGGGCUGAGUACCAACAUCCUUCACCCUUUGCCUGUGACUUGGGAGGUGGUAAAGCCAGCUCCCUCACAUUCCUGCUGCAGCACCUUCUCUACCUUGAUGGACUGUAGUCCUCAAACUGUGAGCC
This 1101-nucleotide long non-coding RNA is filed under the name Mus musculus (house mouse). Its description in RNAcentral is "long non-coding RNA chr3:28359685-28360786". Lineage: Eukaryota; Metazoa; Chordata; Mammalia; Rodentia; Muridae. The record is from RNAcentral.